AGUGAACGCUGGCGGUAGGCCUAACACAUGCAAGUCGAACGGCAGCACAGUAAGAUCUUGCUCUUACGGGUGGCGAGUGGCGGACGGGUGAGGAAUACAUCGGAAUCUACUUUGUCGGGGGGGAUAACGGGGGGAAACAGACGCUAAUACCGCAUACGUCCUACGGGUGAAAGCAAGAGAUCUUCGGACUCUUCGCGUUUCAAAUAGCCGAUGUCGGAUUAGCUAGUUGGGGGGGUAAAGGCCCACCAAGGCGACGAUCCGUAGCUGGUCUGAGAGGAUGAUCAGCCACACUGGAACUGAGACACGGUCCAGACUCCUACGGGAGGCAGCAGUGGGGAAUAUUGGACAAUGGGCGCAAGCCUGAUCCAGCCAUGCCGCGUGAGUGAAGAAGGCCUUCGGGUUGUAAAGCCCUUUUGUUGGGAAAGAAAAGCAGCAGGUUAAUCCCCCGCUGUUCUGACGGCACCCAAAGAAUAAGCACCGGCUAACUUCGUG
RNAcentral lists this ribosomal RNA (492 nucleotides) under uncultured bacterium. RNAcentral's name for it is "partial 16S ribosomal RNA". It matches the Rfam family "Bacterial small subunit ribosomal RNA", at positions 29 to 507 of the family's 1533-position model. The record is from RNAcentral.